GCCUGGCGGGGUGCUAUACAUGCAGUCGAGCGAACAGAUAAGGAGCUUGCUCCUUUGAAGUUAGCGGCGGACGGGUGAGUAACACGUGGGUAACCUACCUAUAAGACUGGGAUAACUUCGGGAAACCGGAGCUAAUACCGGAUAACAUUUAGAACCGCAUGGUUCUAAAGUGAAAGAUGGUUUUGCUAUCACUUAUAGAUGGACCCGCGCCGUAUUAGCUAGUUGGUAAGGUAACGGCUUACCAAGGCGACGAUACGUAGCCGACCUGAGAGGGUGAUCGGCCACACUGGAACUGAGACACGGUCCAGACUCCUACGGGAGGCAGCAGUAGGGAAUCUUCCGCAAUGGGCGAAAGCCUGACGGAGCAACGCCGCGUGAGUGAUGAAGGGUUUCGGCUCGUAAAACUCUGUUAUUAGGGAAGAACAAAUGUGUAAGUAACUGUGCACAUCUUGACGGUACCUAAUCAGAAAGCCACGGCUAACUACGUGCCAGCAGCCGCGGUAAUACGUAGGUGGCAAGCGUUAUCCGGAAUUAUUGGGCGUAAAGCGCGCGUAGGCGGUUUCUUAAGUCUGAUGUGAAAGCCCACGGCUCAACCGUGGAGGGUCAUUGGAAACUGGGAAACUUGAGUGCAGAAGAGGAAAGUGGAAUUCCAUGUGUAGCGGUGAAAUGCGCAGAGAUAUGGAGGAACACCAGUGGCGAAGGCGACUUUCUGGUCUGUAACUGACGCUGAUGUGCGAAAGCGUGGGGAUCAAACAGGAUUAGAUACCCUGGUAGUCCACGCCGUAAACGAUGAGUGCUAAGUGUUAGGGGGUUUCCGCCCCUUAGUGCUGCAGCUAACGCAUUAAGCACUCCGCCUGGGGGAGUACGACCGCAAGGUUGA
RNAcentral lists this ribosomal RNA (880 nucleotides) under Staphylococcus xylosus. RNAcentral describes it as "bacterial SSU rRNA". It matches the Rfam family "Bacterial small subunit ribosomal RNA", at positions 35 to 897 of the family's 1533-position model. Lineage: Bacteria; Bacillati; Bacillota; Bacilli; Caryophanales; Staphylococcaceae. The record is from RNAcentral.